This 112-nucleotide ribosomal RNA is filed under the name Chthonomonas sp. Lineage: Bacteria; Bacillati; Armatimonadota; Chthonomonadia; Chthonomonadales; Chthonomonadaceae. The record is from RNAcentral.
CGGUCAUUGUGACGGGGAUCCACCCGUUCCCAUUCCGAACACGGCCGUUAAGCCCGUCAACGCCGACAAUACUCGGGGCGCAAGCCCCCGGAAAGAUAGGUCGCCGUCAGGA